Molecule: long non-coding RNA, 12364 nt
Filed under: Physcomitrium patens
Lineage: Eukaryota; Viridiplantae; Streptophyta; Bryopsida; Funariales; Funariaceae
Description: long non-coding RNA (PPAT_LNC012578)
Source: RNAcentral
GCUCUGCCUCCACUUGGGAGCUCCAGAGGAAGCUCACCAACUUGGCCUUGACCACUGCUGGAUCGGGCGCUGUCUCAUCCAGCUUCUCCCUGAUCACUCCUGAAUCGGGUGUUGCCCAGGUAAACUACAUGUAAAGAGUUUUGAUGUGAAACAUCUGGUUAGAAGCCUCACUUUUUUGUUAGGGUUUGGUUUACUUCUUUAUCAAUGCAGGCUGGUGAGAGUUAGUAGUGUGUUUAUUGCAGUUUAUUUCCAUUACGAGAUAUCUUUGAUCGUACGUAGCGUCUAUGCAUUGCUUGUAUACGUUUUCGCUUUCGUGUCCUUCUUGUUUGUGUGUCGUGACGAUAGCUCGACCUUUAUAAUUUGUAGCUAUUUUUGGUAUCGAAUACGCGGAGCCUAGUUUCCACCGAAUGGAUUAUUAAUUUGAUUAUUAUGUUUCGAAUGAUUUAGGUUAUUGUUGGUGGAGGUGGUGGCGGUUUCUCUGCGGGAGCUGCCCCUGCCGCUUCGGGAGGUGCCGCUGCACCCGCUGCUGAGGAGAAGAAGGAAGAGAAGGUGGAAGAGAAGGAGGAGAGUGACGAUGAUAUGGGAUUCUCUCUCUUUGACUAGACUUUGUCUCGCCAUUAUCUGUACGCUUUAUAGGAAAGGCAGGCUGUGCCACUAGUUAAUAUGAUCACUCGAGUAAUACGAUGGCCUUCACAAAGUCAAAAUGGAAUUUAGAAUACUUCCCUUCCAGUUUCUACUUGCAGAUGAAUUCUUUUCUUGCAGUGUGUAUUGACCUUGACGUCAUUACUGUAAGGUUAUUCACGCAAAUAACUCGUGAUGUUAUUAAUCGUUUUUCGAGGUCCCUUAAAAGAACUAAAAAUGGCUUUCAGCUGCGACUCUAGAUCAAAUGUGAUGCAUUCAUAUAUUUCAUAACUCAUCAUUUCAUCUGUGACCCAAGGAAGAAGACCCCCAUCAAUAACUUAACCAGAAUGAUUCUAUGAAAUCAAACCGUAUUGAUCAAGUCAAAGCUCACUUCCAGAGCAGGUCUUCUUACCUUAGCUACCUUGUGAUCUAUGAAACUAGCACGAGGUGAACUAGAACGACCUGCAAGAAUAGCGUAACUUUUCUCUUCCAUAUCACGUACUACAUAGAUUCUAAGCAUUCAACACAUGACUACGUAUCGGAGACCACGCCGGGAGGAUCGCUGUUUAGUUGUAAAUGAUUCAAAUUUCUAUUCUACCCAUGGUUAACAAAUGCACAACAUUGAAGCAGUAGUACUGCAAGUUAUAAAUCUUGAAUGUGUUGAAAUAUGUCAAGCUUUGUAAUGUACAUGUUUUUCUAGGUCUUGUAUGAUUGCAAUAGAGAAUAGAUGAAAAAAAUAUCUCAAUACAAAUAAAAUUACGUAAAAGGAAGUGGAUGAGUAUAAUAAAAACUUGAUUUUGUAUUUAAACUAAAAUUUGACAUUUUUCAUAAGAAAAAAAUAAAAAAAUAAAAAAAUAUAUUGCUAUGGCUAAUUAAUAUUAUUUGUUGUAAAAAAAAAAUAUAUGUAUAUAUAUUAGAAGUUAUUGGUCAUUAGAGACGUGCCAAAAAAGAAGGUAUAUAUAUAUAUAUAUUAGAGGUAGGAUAUUGUCACGGACACAGAAAUACAGGCUCGAGAUCUAACAAGAAGUUCAAGAAGAACUAACAAGAACUAGAUUAAUCAGAUGAAUACAAGAACAACACUAGAGAGGUGAACUAGAGCUCCAAGAGAUGUGUUGUCGAGACUAAAGAACUCUUCAGCCUCGAUUCCAAUAUAUACUCCUAUUUAGGAAGCUUCUCAAGCAACUUCUACCAACUAGGAAGCUUCUAGAAGGUUCUAGAGACUUGCUUUUAGAAGGUUCUAGAAACUUAUCUCUAGAAGGUUCUAAGGACUAUGUCCCUAACAUCUUCUACCACUAAGAAGCUUCUAGAAGGUUCUAGAGACUUGCUUCUAGAAGGUUCUAGAAACUUGUCUCUAGAAGGUUCUAAGGACUAUGUCCCUAACAUCACCCCCUCCUUUAGCUUCGAGGUCUCUGAGAAGCAAUGUUGUUAUUAAUCAGUACCAACGCAAGAAAAUGAAGAUCUGUCGCAUAACGUCUACUAUGAACUCCAACUGCUGUUCACGAGGCAAGUCGUUCAUCGGCCCUUGAAGCCAACGGUAGUAGCCCACUCCUUCAACUUCUGACCAAGUAUGAACUUCCGUGUCAUCAUUGUGAAAUUGUCCUCCAAAUACGCCUUUUGGCUGACCAUCGUAAGCAGGCUCGAACUCGAAUACAAUCACCAGUGAUCAGUUACUCGAUAUCCUCCGUCGUCAUCAUGGUGAAGGCGGUUCUUCAUCUCGGGGUCGCCUUCGUGAGUUAGUCGGUUGAGAUAAUUUGACUGGCAUAGUAUCUAUCUCUUGGCUAUCCAUAUCAGAAGACCAAACUAUGGCUACUGAAAAAAUUCUACUUUAUCUUGGAGAAAAUAACUACAUUAAUUGCGAAUUUUGGUGGUGCUCUCCCCCUUUCUUAUAUUCUUGGAUGAGCAAACUUUAGAAAGAAGCUAUCGUCGAACCGGCUUAGGUUUAUGAAGAUGUUGUUGAUGAAACUCCCGUACCUUUUGCGGCGUAUUGGCAAGAUUUUCAGCUGGCUCCCAUGUUCGCUCAUCAAUGUCGUAGCCGCACCAAUGAACAAGAUACUCCAACUUGCCCCACCUUCGCCGUAAAUCCAGCACCUUUUCAACCUCGUAUUCUUCGUGGUUCUCGAUCUCAAUACUAGGUGGUGGACAUUGCACUCUUCCAGGAAAAGACGACUCUCGAUAAGGCUCCAACAGAGAAACAUGAAAGACUGGAUGUACCUUCAAAGAAGCCGGUAAUUCUAGACGGUACGCCACUGGAUUGAUUUGCUUCUGGAUGAUAAAUGGUCCCAAUCUUCGAUAGUCCAACUUAUCACAUGGUCGCUUGGUUUUGAUAUUCUGUCGAAGAAGCCAUGCUUUAUCUCCAAUUUUGAAAGUAGGUGCUUGAUUCCGAAAUCUAUCUACAGACGCCUUGUAGGAUUCUUGAGCAGAUUGUAAUUGAAGCUUCAACGUAUUUUGAAGCUCUGAUAGUUGUUUCGCAAAUCCUUCAGCUGCUGGAUUGUUAUUUGUUGACGGAUUCAAUAAAUCAAGCUUCGGAUGAUACCCAUAGUUGGAAAAGAAUGGUGUGUAUUGAGUCGACGCAUGGAGGGUGUUGUUAUAUGUAAACUCGGCUAGCGACAGAUAUAAGGUCCAAUUGUCUUGCUGAUAGUUGAUGUUACAUCGUAAGUAUUGUUCCAAGACUUAGUUCACCCGUUCUGUUUGGCCGUCAGUUUGAGGAUGAAAAGCUGAAGAAAGCUUGAUAUCCACCUUCAGUAUCUCAAAGAGAGAUCUCCAAAACUUUGAUAUGAACUGGGUUCCUCGAUCUGAUACGAUAUCAUCUAGUAGUCUAUGAUAUCAAUACACAUUAUCGAGAAAGAGCCUUGGUGUGACUUCACUGGACGAUGUCUUCUUGCAAGGGACAAAGUAUGCCAUCUUUGUAAGCCGAUCUACCACGACAAAGAUGCUGUCAAAUGAGUUCGAUGAUGGCAGGUCCGUGAUGAAGUCCAUGGAAAUUGAAGACCAUGGUCGACGUGGAAUCGACAAUGGCUGUAGGAGUCCAUAAGGGCAAUGCCGAGGAUUCUUGGAUCUUGAACAGAUGUCGCAAGAGAGGACAAAAUCUUUCACAUCCUUCCACAUUUGGGGCCACCAAAAAUCUUGAGAAAUAAGCUCCAAGGUCUUGUUGAAUCCAAAAUGUCCCGCAGCUGGAAAAUCGUGGCGAGAUUGAAGAACUCGGAGUCGUGCUGGUCCUUUUGGGAUAUAUAACCGCUCUUCAAAGUAUAAAAGAUCUCUCUCCACCUUGAACUUGUCGUCAUUGGCACGCUGCUUAAUAUCAAUGGCUACUGAAUCUUCAAUGGUUACGGCACGUACCUGAUUCAAGAAGUCAGCAUCAAUUGGCAUAAUAGUAGCGCAAAGCUGAAAUUACUCUGGCUUCAACAAUGUCGUACAUUGUUGAUCAAAUGCUGCUUCUCUAGCCUUUGGUACAAGAUACGAUCUCCUCGAUAAGGCAUCAGAUAGUCCUUGCUGCUUUCCACGUCGAUAAGUGAUAACAAAAUCGAACCUAGAUAGCAACAUACCCCACCGAGCUUGACGUCGAUUUAGAACUCGAGCCGACAUGAAAUAUUCCAAAUUCUUGUGAUCUGUGUAUACGGUCACUGGAUGUGCAGCUCCUUUAAGAAAAUGAUGCCAUUCUUGGAAAGAAUCCACUAUAGCAAGAAGUUCCUCAUCGUGGAUCUCAUAAUUUAUUUCAGCAGCAGAGAACUUUCGAGAAUAGAAUGCAACUGGAUGGAGCUUCUUGUCUUCUCCCAUUUGUAAAAGUACAGCUCCCAAAGCAAAAUCCGAAGAAUCAGUUUCCAAAUAAAAGGCCUUUGUAAAGUCUGGAUGUACCAAGAUUGGAGCCGUAGUAAAUGCGGUCUUCAGGUCUUGAAACGCCUUGUCCGCUAGAGGUCCCCAUUCCAGCUUAUCCUUGCAUAUCAACCGAGUGAGAGGAGCAGCAACUUGAGAGUAAUUCUUGAUGAAGUUUCGAUAGAAGUUGACAAAACCAAGAAAGCAUUGUACAUCUCUAACCGUCUUCGGAACCUCCUAGGACACGAUUGCUUCUACUUUCUUGAGGUCCAUCUUCAAGCCUUCCGUAGUCGCAACGAACCCCAGAAACUCAAUCUCUAUUUGGUAAAAUAAACACUUCUCCAACUUGGCAUGUAGUCCUCGCUCGCAUAGUUUCUCUAAGACCAAACGAACAUGCUUUCCAUGCUCUUCCUCGUUUUUGGAGAAUAUCAAAAUAUCAUCAAAGUAGAUGAAAACAAAAUCGUUAAGGUGCUCUCGGAAAAUGUCAUUCAUCAUAUGUUGAAAGACCGCUGGAGCAUUGGUAAGACCAAAGGGCAUGACAUUAUACUCAAAAUGGCCAUACCUUGUACGGAACGCUGUCUUCCACUCAUCUCCUUCCUUGAUUUGUACGAGGUUGUAAGCUCUCCUUAGAUCAAUUUUCGUAAAGAUCCUUGCACGUCCAAGUUGUUCUAAGAGACCAAAAAUCAAGGGUAACCAAUAAUGAUUCUUCUUUGUUACCUUGUUGAGGCCUCGAUAGUCCACGCACAUCCGCAACGAGCCAUCUUUCUUCUUCACAAAUAAGAUGGGUGCUCCAACUGACGAUUUUGAAUGAUGGAUGAAGUUCUUGGCUAGAUUCUCAUCGAUAAACUUCCGCAACUCUGCCAACUCCAUCUGCGAUAGAUUGUAGAUUGGGCCAAAAGGCGAUUGUGCUCCUUCCUGUAAGUCUAUGGCGCAAUCAUAUGGUCGGUGUUCUGGUAGCAUGUGAGCAUUCUUCUUUUAAAACACGUCUUUAAAAUCCUUAUAUUGCUCAGGUAUACUUGUUAUCGAGAUCUUCUCCCCGGUAGUUGGAGCCACAUAAAUGACAAACGGUGUGCCUUCCUUGGACGAUCUUAUAAAUGCUCUUGCUCCAAUGAAUAAAGAUUUCUCUAUUCGGGGUUUUCUACUAGGCUUACUCUUGGGUGGUUUUGUGGGAAAGGUCAUCUUCUGCAACCUCCAAUCUAUGGAUGGGUUAUGCUUUUCCAACUAGGAAAGACCAAGAAGAACAGGAUUUGAUGGGGUUCUAAUAAUAUUAAAAAUAAUAUGACUACUAUGGUCCUUAAUCGUCACUUCUAUAGGUUCUGAUUCAUGGGUGAUACUACCAGACAAUAAAGGUCGUCCAUCUAUGACCUCAACGUGAACAUGUUUGGAUUUUUGUAGUAAAGGGAUUUUAUGACGCUUCGCAAAUUCUUCGUCUAAGAAACAAGCAGAUGCUCCUGAAUCUAAUAAUGCUAAGGUUCUCAGUUUUUGAGGGCCAAUAAACAAAGGGAUUGUAAACAAAGGGCAGGUUGAGUAGAAAGAAAGGAACCUGGUUGUUGUUGCGAUAUUUCACUAUCCAGCCGCACGGUUCCUAUUGUGGCUAGGCAUCCUCGUUUUUCUGAACUAACGCGCCCCUAGUCCUGACAAUACGUCGAUUUUGCUUCUUGGGAUAGUUUCCAACUUUGUGGCCUUCUUCACCGCAAUAAAAGCAUAGACCUUCCUCCAUGCGUCGCUUCUUUUCUUCUAGAGUAAGAGAUUUGACACAAACUGCAUGAAUUUGCAUGUCUUCUACCUUUGAAUGUGAAUUCACGCUGCUUACCGAUAUAGUUGGGGCAUGGUGAACCGUAUGUUGUCUUGAACAUUGGUCUUGGCGGCGUUGGAAUAGGAGAUUAUCACACUUCACAGCUUGGCUAAUAGCUUCGUUGAGCGUUUGCGGAUCAGGAAGAGUUAACAGCAAAUCCUUCACAUUGUCCCUUAAAUUCCAAUAGAAUUGUCUCAUCAACGCUUCUUCAUCCCAAUUGAUGUCGCAUGCUAAUUACCUGAAGUCCGAUGCAUAGACCGAUGUAGAGCGCAUCCCUUGUCGUAGUGACCGGAUCUUUGUUAUAGUCCAUCGAAUCUUGUCAUGUUCUCGGGGCUUCUUAUGUUGUAAAACCAGUGGUGCUUGUCGAACCUGAGGCAAAGUUGCUUCUCCAAGUGCAGAAGUUUGAGGCUGGUGCAACCUAGAUUGUGCCAUCCCAGAUGUUCCAUCAUUAUGAAGCCUUGCCAUGACUCCUUCAAUCUCUACAGUUCUUUGUGAUAAUGUAGCGAGGGCAUUCAUGAUAGCAUCCAGCUUGGACUCCGAACUUUCCGUCAUACUAAUGUCUUGGCCUCCUGCUAUUCUAAGAGAAGGAUAGAAAUGACUCUACAAGAAGACAAUAUUGGUUUAGAGGAGGGUACUCCGCAACCUCUAAAUUGCCUUAAGAGUUUUAAGAAAUGGGGUAAUCCACUCUCUCCAAGAAAAAUAAGACUCCAAUAUUGUAACUAAAGAAGUAUCAGUUUAGAGGAGGGUAAUCCGCAACCUCUAAAAUGCUAGUACACUUCCAAGCAGAGGGAUAAUCCGCACUCUAACGAGGAAGAAACUAGCUCUGAUAUCUGAGGUGAAUGAAGUCUCGACAAACUGUUAUGGACACAAAAAUAUAGACUCGAGAUCUAAUAAGAAGUUCAAGAAGAACUGGCAAGAACUAGAUUAAUCAGAUGAAUACAAGAACAACACCAGAGAGGUGAGCUAGAACUCCAAGAGAUGUGUUGUCGAGACUAAAGAACUCUUCAGCCUCGAUUCCAAUAUAUACUCCUAUUUAGGAAGCUUCUCAAGCAACUUCUACCAACUAGGAAGCUUCUAGAAGGUUCCAGAGACUUGCUUUUAGAAGGUUCUAGAAACUUAUCUCUAGAAUGUUCUAAGUACUAUGUCCCUAACAUCUUCUAUCACUAAGAAGCUUCUAGAAGGUUCCAGAGACUUACUUCUAGAAGGUUUUAGAAACUUGUCUCUAGAAGGUUCUAAGGACUAUGUCUCUAACAGAAAUAUAUAUUUAUAUAUAUAUAUAUAUACAUAUACAUAUAUAUUAGAAGUUAUUGAUCAUUAGAGAUGUGCAAAAAAAAAGGUAUAUAUAUAUAUAUAUAUAUAUAUCUAUAUUAGAGGUAGGAUAUAUAUAUAUAUAUAUAUAUAUAUAUAUAUAUAUUAGAAGUUAUUGAUCAUUAGAGAUGUGCCAAAAAAGAAGGUAUAUAUAUAUAUAUAUAUGUAUUAGAAUUUAUUGGUUGAAGGUAGGAUAGAAAACAUCCUUAUUAAAGCUUUAUAAUCUAGGUUGUUUAUUUCCACAAUGGCAACCACGUGGGAUUGCCUCACCUUUUAAAAUAAUUUUAGAUUAAAUAUUUUUUUUGGAAAAUAUUUUUUGACUUUAUGUAUGUAUAUAUAUAUAUAUAUAUAUAUAUAUAUAUAUAUAUGUAUUAGAUAUUGCUAAUACCGCUACAAUUUUUGCUAGUACCUCCACAAUCCACUAUCUACUUGAAUUUUUUUUUUUGGUUUUUUUAGUUUAGUUUUAGUUUAAUAAUAUAUAUAUAUAUAUAUAUAUAUAUAUAUAUAUAUAUAGUUUUUUUAGUAUUUUAUUUUAUUUUAAUUUAUUUUUAUGGUAGAAGUAGAAAAUUUGGUAUAUGCAAUACUAUUUAUAUAUAUAUGUAUAUAUAUAUAUAUAUAUUUAUAAAAUUAAUAAAAUUUAUUGAAAAUUUAUAUUUUUAAUUAUUUUUAAUGUAAUUUUUAAAAAACUUAUAAAAAAAAUAUUCAACAAGAUUCUAAUCUUAAUAGAAUAAAAAAGUCACAUGCUACAUGCACACCUUAAGUUGCUACAUGUACACUCUAAGUUACAAAACAUAUAUUCUAAUUUGCUUUAUAGACAUUGUAAACUACUAUAUAUGCCAAAAUUAGGAAGUUGGGAAGGAAGUCUAAGACUUAUGGCAGGACAAGGAGAAAGGGGAGGAGAUUGGAGACUUAUACCAAGAUAAGGAAGAGAUGGAGGAGAUUUCAAACUUAUACUAAGGCAAAGAAGAGGAAGAGGAGGUUCAAGUCUCACUCUAGAAUUGAAAUUCAUGCCAAAACAAAGAAGAGUGGUAGAAAUUUUGGAGCUUAUACCAAGACAAGGAAGAAGAGCAAGAAGUCUAAGACUUAGUGAACAAUAAGCCAUGAGUGGUCAAUUACCAAUUAAUUUAAUGAACUAGCUAGUUAGAUGCCUAUAUUUUCUUGGAUGUACAAAUAGUAAUUUGAAGAGUGUGUAGCAACUUAGAAUGUGUGUAUAGCCUAAUUCAAUAUAUAUAUAUAUAUAUAUAUAUAUAUAUAUAUAUGUAAGUGAUAUUAUUUUUAAGCACUUAAUUUUUAUUUAAGAUUUAUUUAUUUUAUGACUUAUAAAGUAUGUUGUAUUUUGGUGUUCCUAUAAGAUGGUAAUGUUAUGCUUGAAUAUAGUUAUUUUUUGAUAUUUCUUUUGAAUUUCUUUAAAAUAAAUAAUUCAUGUUCAAAGAACCAAAUUAAUUUUAUGUGAAAAUUAUAUUCGAUUAUAUAACAUAUAUUAAUUUUUUUUAUCAUAUAGUAAUAUUUUAUAAAAUUAUGGAUGUUGAAUUCCUCUUUUGUUUUGGAAAAAUUCUAUAUUUAUAAAUUUUUUGAUAUGAGAUAUAUCAAUAAUAUAAAAAAUUAUUUUUGAAAAAAUAAUUAAAAUAGAUUAUAAUUAAAUUAUCUAAAAUUAUAAUAUAAAAAAUAUUUUAUUUAAUAAUAAAUUAUAAUUAUUAUUUUAAAUAUUAUUAAAAUAUCUUUAAAGAAUUUUAUUUGAAAAAUAAAAAAAUAAUGUGGAUUAAAUAUUUUCUUAUUUGACAAUUGUAUGUAUAAGGCUAAUAAAUAUUUUUGGGGAUAAUUUUAAUUAAAUUUAAUAAUUAAUUUUAUUAAUAAAAUAUUCCAUAAAUAUCCAUAAUAGUAAAAAUUAUUACGUUUAUAAUUAUUUAUUUUAAAAAAUUACAAUAAAAGCUAUAUACUUUUAAUAAUAUAUUUUUUUAUUUAUUUAAAAUCACAUAGAAUUAUGUUUAGUUUCUCAAUAUUUGUUUUGUUAUUUUUAUGAUCUUUCUUUCAACAUAUCUCAUCUUUUAAAUCUUUAAUUGUCUUUGUAGUAGGAUGGUCUUCAUGUAAAAUCCACACAAAAUUAAUCAAAUUGUUGAGAUCUUUGUAAAUUUUUAUUAUAGAGAUAUGAUUUAUGUAUGAAAAAACUUCAAGAGUUUAAAAACUAAAAUGAAAGAGAUUUAUUUUAUAUCACAAGUAAGAAUUGCCAAUAAGAUAUAAAAAUAAGAUCAAACGAUAUAAGCUAAGCCAUAAGAAUUGUAUUGUCAAAAUUGAGGAUCCCUUUAGCCUUAAUUCCUAUAUAUAUACUAGGUCUAAAGAAGCUUCUUGAGAAGUUUUCUUGAUAUUGAGAGGCAAAACAAGCUUCAAACAACCUUCUAUGACCAUCUUGUAGCUUUAAUUGUCUUCUUGGUCUUAGACACUUUUAUCAUCUACAAUAUCAUAUCAAUAGUAUUGUGCCAAGAAAAAAACUCAAUUGUUCUUUUCAACUUUGGAAAAUGAUUGUGCAAUUGUAACUUUACUAUUAAAAUUGAAGAUAAUUUGGAAAAUAAUCAAAUUUGUUAAUUAUUUGUCAAUCUUAGAUUAGAAAAUCAUGACUAAUUUGCUUCAUCAAUUACACCCUUUGAUUCUAUGGCAAACUUCACCAUUUCUAUAUAAAUUAUAUGAAGAGUAUUUUUUUUUUUUUUUUUGUGUCAAAAAUCUUCAAUGUAUUACAUUUUCUUGUAUUUAAAUCUUUUGUAUUCAAUCUUAUAAUAUACAAUGAAAAAAUGUAAGGAUUAAAAAAAUGAUAAAUAUUCUACAUUAAUCAAAGUUGCUUCUAUGGCUUGAGCCAUGUGUGAUAUGGUUAGCAAUGUUCUCUCUUCUCCAAGUAUUGUCAUGCGUUUAUUUUUGAAAUUAAAAAAAUAUAUUCUACCUUCUUUCUUAAGUUUCUUUCAUUCAUUGGUAGCAAGAAUCAAACUUACCACAAUAUGUCCCUUUAAAGCUAUAAUAACUUCUAUAUGAAUUUGUCAAUAGAUGUCUAUUUUUUACAACUAAUUAGUAUGGUUAUCUAUCUGAUGUCUAUAAGUUUUAAGUACCUUAUGCUUUAAAUGCUUUUGCAACAAUUCAAAGCCAUAUUACUCAAUAAAAGUAGAAAAAUAUUGACAUUUCUUUUUUAUCCACAAUUUAAACUUAAGCUUCCAAUAUGACAAAAAAAUACCACUAAUACAUUUAAAGAAUCAAUCUUGCACUAAGCUAUAAGGAUUGUUAUCUAUUUUUUAAAAUAUGCCUAGAGUCUAAAGCCAAAAUCUAAAAUUGAUAUUUAAUACCAAAAUAUAUUUAAAUGUCUUAUUGAUAUCUAAUUCUAGCUCAAAAUUUCUAUUAGAAUUUAUUUUUUGAGUAGUUUAGUGAAGAAAAUUAAUAAUAUUGAUUCUUAGUUUGUACCAUAAACUUAAUUUCUAGAAAUAUAAAAUUAUCUAAAGAUUAAAGACGAUUUGCACUUGCAAUCACCACCAAAGUUUGUAGUACAUUGGUCAUGACCUCCAACUACUACAAUUUCAAUAAUCACCCUACAAAAAGGUCUUAUUAGCAAUGAAUUUGACCUCAUCCUUACAAUAUCCUAUUACAAAUUAGUAUAAUACUUUAAACCUUAAGCAAUCAUAUUUUCCAUCUGUAAAAGUACCAAAAUCAUAAUCAAAAAACUAAUAUUAUAUAAUUUUUUUAAUAAAAUAAAAAAUUAAUUAAAAGGAGAUGCUAUUAAAUCUUUGAUGUCAACACUUCAAAACAUAAAACUUGUGAUUACUAGAAUAACUUAUUAAGCAACAUCUAAUGCAAUAUUAAUCCCUUGAUUCUUAAAAUUUAAAAUUUUUAAAAUCUUUGGUGUUAAAAAAUAAAAUUUAGUUCUAAAAAAAACAUAUUUAAUUGAAAAAAAUGAAAAAAUUCUAAAUAAUUUUAUAAUUUUUUUUUGAAAAUCUUAUAUAAAAUAGAUUUUAUAUUUAUUUAAUUUAAAGCUAAAUUAUUUUAAAAAUUAUAUUUAAAAUAUUUUUUUAGUUCUAAAAUAUAUAUUUUAAAAAAAAUUAGAAUAUAUAAAUGUUUAGAUCUCUAAAUUUAUAAAAAUUUUAAGAUUUUUAAAACCUAAAAAUGUGAAGAUUACUAAAAUCUCAUAUCUAGUUGACAUUUUGAGGUCAAAGUCUAUGUUUGUUUGCAGCCCUUACAUUGUACGCCUUGCAAUUAUUUGAGCAUAUUUAGUCAUUAACCUUACAUCAAUCAAUUGUUAUUCUAAUAUAACAUGUUGUGCCAUUAUUUAUUUAUAUUAAUUUUUAUUAUUUAUUUAUUUAUUUUUGAUAUAGGUAUUUUAUAAAAUUUGAAAUUUUUUAUAUGCAUUUACACUCUUUAAUUCUCCCAUGGUACAAUCAGAGACAAUUGACUUAUGUUUUGAUUACUUAUUUCUCACUUAAAAAUAUUUUUUCUUAUUUUAUUUAUUUAUUUAUUCAUUCCUUCUCAUUUUAUAUUCUAAUAAAUCAUAAUCCUUUAUCAUCUUAUUUUUAUAUAUCUUUUUAUAGAAUAUUUCUUUUCAUCUUAGACUUGAGUUGCAUAGGAAUUAUAUAAGCUUUCUAAAAUAUUCAUAAUUUUGUAGAUUAUUUUAUCUUUUAAAUAUUUUCUUUAAAAUUUUGGAUUUUUUUAUCUAUUUUAUUAUUUUUUAUUUGAUAGAUAAAUUUAUUUAUCCAAAAUUUGAAAAUAUAAUAAAAAUAUUAUGGACAUAUAUAUUUACUCAAAUAAUUAUUUAGAUAUUAUGAAUCAGUAAAAUUAAGUUAAUUUGAUAAUACCUUAUAGGAA